ACAACUUUCAACAAUGGAUCUCUUGGCUCUCGCAUCGAUGAAGAACACAGCGAAAUGUGAUAAGUAAUGUGAAUUGCAGAAUCCAGUGAAUCAUCGAAUCUUUGAACGCAUCUUGCGCUCCUUGGUAUUCUGAGGAGCAUGCCUGUUUGAGUGUCGUUAAA
Molecule: ribosomal RNA, 161 nt
Filed under: Amanita sp. 'finisprovinciae'
Lineage: Eukaryota; Fungi; Basidiomycota; Agaricomycetes; Agaricales; Amanitaceae
Description: 5.8S ribosomal RNA
Rfam family: 5.8S ribosomal RNA
About the family: 5.8S ribosomal RNA (5.8S rRNA) is a component of the large subunit of the eukaryotic ribosome.
Source: RNAcentral